Long non-coding RNA from Lolium perenne, 914 nucleotides. RefSeq lists it as uncharacterized. NCBI's taxonomy places the organism in Eukaryota, Viridiplantae, Streptophyta, Magnoliopsida, Poales, Poaceae. The record is from RefSeq and is a predicted model, not a curated record.
CAAAAAACGAACUCCCCCUUCUCUCCCUUUCGCCUCGACUAUCUAAAUCUAGCUCGUCCCCAAUCCCCUCCUCUUCUCUCCCGCAUCCACGCCCCGCUUGCUCCAAAUCGACGGCGAAAUCAUCUCGUCGGCGGCAAGUUGUCCUGGGGAAAAUACCGUAGGGGUUCUCCCGUCGGUAGGUGUAGUGGUGGAGGGACUUCGAUGGUGCCGCGAACAGAUCGACGCUCCCGAGGCGGAGGGUCCAAGACGGGGUGAGAAGGGUCCUUCGCCGGCGCGGCCCCGCGAGAAUCGAUGCGUCUGUGGCGGCUGACGUUGUUGCACGAGUUCGUGAACGAGAAUCUGCGCCGCGGCUUCUCGAAUCGAUGCGGCCGCGGCUGGUGGAGUUCAUGCUAGGAGCUUGGGCGGCGUUGUUCUGAUUCAAGGGCACAAGUUUCCAAGAUAUGGAGAUGUCACGAACUCCCGAUUUCACAGCUAUUCCUACAGUCCUGGUAGACAAUUUGUAAAUCCUGUUUCACAUUUCAGGUUCUUUUUUUCACAUGCAGAUUGCCAUGACAAGCUGGAAAGAGUACUGGUGGUAUGUCAUUUUGCUUGGGUGUUCUGAUGCUCAGUUUUCUAGGAGCUCUUUACACAUUUGCCAGCCUCUAGUUCUAAGUACUGUUUGGACCUACUGACUUUUUUGUUACUGCAAAAAAAUUGUAAAAUGUAUAUCCUCAGAUUCAAAGUUGCAUGUUUUUCUGAUGUUCAUGUUAUUGGAUUUCUUCAGUUUUUACAUGCAUGACAGAUGAUUGUCAGCAAUGGGGUAGCAGAUGGCGAUGCAUCACCAUGAUCUGGUGUUGCAAAACUACUUCACCCCUUUACUAUUCUACAUGUAAAAACCAGAUCUGGACUUGCAAAGAAAGAUUGAUUGCCUGUAA